GGGGUUUCCGCCCCUUAGUGCUGCAGCUAACGCAUUAAGCACUCCGCCUGGGGAGUACGGUCGCAAGACUGACUACUCAAAGGAAUUGACGGGGGCCCGCACAAGCGGUGGAUCAUGUGGUUUAAUUCUAASCAACGCGAAGAACCUUACCAGGUCUUGACAUCCUCUGACAAUCCUAGAAAUAGGACGUCCCCUUCGGGGGCAGAAUGACAGGUGGUGAUGGUUGCCGUCACCUCUU
Molecule: ribosomal RNA, 238 nt
Filed under: Bacillus amyloliquefaciens
Lineage: Bacteria; Bacillati; Bacillota; Bacilli; Caryophanales; Bacillaceae
Description: partial 16S ribosomal RNA
Rfam family: Bacterial small subunit ribosomal RNA
Source: RNAcentral